AUCAAGAUGCAGAAGAAAGUGCUGUUCUUCCCAGGGAGAAUCUGUGUUGUGUUCCGCAAGGGACCACUCGGAUUUCUCCUCCAGGAGCCAUCUAAAGAAGCCAGACGUAUUAAGGAUGAUCCCACUCUGCAGGACAAGUCUGCGCCCAUAAGACAGGACCUUGUGCAGCAGAAUGCUCUGUCUGUGGUCGUUCAGAGAGGAGGGGAUGCCUCUGACAGGACGGAGGUCCUGGGAGACUACAUCCUGCAAUUUGGAAAGUAUAAAGGGAAGUCCUUUAGAUGGCUUUUAGAGAAUGAUGUAGGGUACACUAUGUAUCUCAUCAAGAAUCUUCAGAAGGAGGAGGCGUCAGGCAUCCCUGUGGCCGAGGGGCAUGGCAAGGACAGUCUACUGUCAUUUGUUAAUUAUGCCCUUAGUUUUGAAGAGAUCCAGUCUCUUCUCACCUAUGAGGCCAGUGGAGUGGGUGUUGGGGCAGCCUCAUCGGAAGAUGACCAGCUGGUUGGCUUUGGUUCCCGGGCCAAGAGCACCUGGAAGGAGAUAUGGGAUAGCAGAGCUGAUGGCUACGCAGACUUCAUCAUGAAGAAGAGCUGCGUCCCAGGGACACGCAUGUACAAGCUGCAGCAAUACCUGCGGAAGAGGCAGCAAUCUGCCACUGCUUCCAUACCUGCUGAACAUACCUCAAGGGCCCCAGCAAAACCCCUGGUGAUGGAUGAUGAUGAAGAGCUGGAGAGAGCGAUGUUGAGCAUCUCACCCUCUAAGCUUCAAGUGCAGAGCUGUAAGUAGACUGUUAUUACACAAACCAAAUGUCAGAAUUGAUGAUGGCCUAUGGUCUAUUUUGUAACUGCUGUCUCCCAAUUCAUAUCUCUGUGUUUGUGUGUAACCAGUUGCUGUGCCAGCAGCAGUAGCAGCAGCUGCCAUACCCAGAGUGUCACCAGGAGCAAAGACAGGUUUUUAAAUAGGAGGUUUCAGGACUGGAGUAAGAUGAAUUGCCCUCCAAAACUGAACCUUGACUUAAACUGUUAUAUUGUUUGCGUUCUGGCCAUGUUCCUCCAACAAUAUGGUUGUAUGCUGGCAUUAUACUAACUGUCCUAAGGACUAUGAAUUCCUGCCAUGAUGAAUUACAACCACAAUGAGGGUAAGUGUGCAUUUUUGUUCUGCAUUCAUGUUGUUUAAAGGUACUAACACUUGAAUGCAUGCUUUUUCACUGAGUCAUAUUGCUCCUCCUGCUUAGACUAGUGAGUAGUUUUUAGGAUAGUACGUUUGGUUGGCAUGUCCGCAGGAAAUAAUUCAAUUAAAUUUUAAUUAAUUCAUUAACAGUUAAGAUGGUCUCAAGGCACUUUACAGAACCACUCCCUCUUAACAUUAGAUGAAUUCAUAUACAUAACAGGAUAAAAUAUAUUGACAUGCAAGCAGCAUAUGUGCUUGAUGCAUACAUGAUUCCAAAGAACACGGCUUACAGUGUGCUCAUGGUUACUAUUAGAGGGAUAGGUAGAGAAAAAUAAUAUGGCAAUGUCAAUAAUGGCAUACAUUUAUAUUAUAAGUAUAUAGGUUUGUUACACAGUAUGUAAUUGUACCAUAAACAUUUGUAAAAUUAUGAUAAGCAGGAGAAAGAAACAUAUGGCUGUUUGAGUUCCUACUAACACCAACACUAUACUACUAACAUAUAUUGUGAAUUUUGAAAUGACUGAUGAUUUUGUCUGUUAUAGUUCCAUCUGCGGCACUGUCCAAACCAACUCCUGAUACAACUGCUGAAUUGCAGGCAUCACCAGUUGAUGGUAAAAUCAAUAAUCAAGGUCAUGUAAUCAAAUGUUGAGUUAAUUGCGGUUACAUAAAAAUAAUAAUUGGUCUAUUUGCGUUCUUGUAGCUCCAGCCUCUCCAAGCCUAAAGAGGAAGACACCUGUGCCCCUUCCAGCAGAACUGACGUUCCUAGUGAAGGAGACAACAGCAGAAAAGCUUAAGGCAAUGCCAGGUAUGUUUCCAUUUUAGUGUAGGGCUGAUGCUCAGUUACACAUCUGCUCAGUGCAUUGCAGAUUUAGCUCAGUAACAUUUUCACAAACACAUCCUAAAUUUGCCAUCAUAUCAUGAUGUCAGUAGCCUGUACAAAUGCAAAAAUCAAUGACUGCACUUUGUUUCAGAACUCUGCACAAGUGCUGCUGUCACCUCUGCACGCAAAGUGCUUGCCUUUGAGGAGAGUAGUGAAAAUGGUAAGAAUAAACAGCAUGUAGACAGCCCCUCUAUUUUGUGAACUCCUGACACUAAGAUGUUGUCUUAACUCUGCUUUAAUCAUUUCAUUUAUUUACAUUACUUCCAUAUUAACUAUGCAAUCUAUCAUAAUAAUCAGGGCAUUACAUUCUUUUUGCCUAUCCAUUUUUCUUUUUAAAUCCUAGUUCCCUCAGCUCAGCCACCUGUUCCUGUUCUCC
Cyprinus carpio carpio is the source of this 2417-nucleotide long non-coding RNA. The record is from Ensembl. Lineage: Eukaryota; Metazoa; Chordata; Actinopteri; Cypriniformes; Cyprinidae.